This 151-nucleotide ribosomal RNA is filed under the name Aeromonas dhakensis. RNAcentral describes it as "partial 16S ribosomal RNA". It matches the Rfam family "Bacterial small subunit ribosomal RNA", at positions 1392 to 1533 of the family's 1533-position model. Lineage: Bacteria; Pseudomonadati; Pseudomonadota; Gammaproteobacteria; Aeromonadales; Aeromonadaceae. The record is from RNAcentral.
GCCCGUCACACCAUGGGAGUGGGUUGCACCAGAAGUAGAUAGCUUAACCUUCGGGAGGGCGUUUACCACGGUGUGAUUCAUGACUGGGGUGAAGUCGUAACAAGGUAACCCUAGGGGAACCUGGGGUUGGAUCACCUCCUUACCUUAAUGA